Molecule: non-coding RNA, 28 nt
Filed under: Bombyx mori (domestic silkworm)
Lineage: Eukaryota; Metazoa; Arthropoda; Insecta; Lepidoptera; Bombycidae
Source: RNAcentral
UUACCUCGGGCCAUCUACUGUGACGGUC